RNAcentral lists this ribosomal RNA (789 nucleotides) under uncultured soil bacterium. RNAcentral's name for it is "bacterial SSU rRNA". It matches the Rfam family "Bacterial small subunit ribosomal RNA", at positions 715 to 1503 of the family's 1533-position model. The record is from RNAcentral.
GCGAAGGCAGCCAUCUGGCCUAAUACUGACACUGAAGUGCGAAAGCAUGGGGAGCAAACAGGAUUAGAUACCCUGGUAGUCCAUGCCGUAAACGAUGUCUACUAGCCGUUGGGGCCUUUGAGGCUUUAGUGGCGCAGCUAACGCGAUAAGUAGACCGCCUGGGGAGUACGGUCGCAAGACUAAAACUCAAAUGAAUUGACGGGGGCCCGCACAAGCGGUGGAGCAUGUGGUUUAAUUCGAUGCAACGCGAAGAACCUUACCUGGUCUUGACAUAGUAAGAACUUUCCAGAGAUGGAUUGGUGCCUUCGGGAACUUACAUACAGGUGCUGCAUGGCUGUCGUCAGCUCGUGUCGUGAGAUGUUGGGUUAAGUCCCGCAACGAGCGCAACCCUUUUCCUUAUUUGCCAGCGGGUUAAGCCGGGAACUUUAAGGAUACUGCCAGUGACAAACUGGAGGAAGGCGGGGACGACGUCAAGUCAUCAUGGCCCUUACGACCAGGGCUACACACGUGCUACAAUGGCGCAUACAAAGAGAAGCGACCUCGCGAGAGCAAGCGGACCUCAUAAAGUGCGUCGUAGUCCGGAUUGGAGUCUGCAACUCGACUCCAUGAAGUCGGAAUCGCUAGUAAUCGUGGAUCAGAAUGCCACGGUGAAUACGUUCCCGGGCCUUGUACACACCGCCCGUCACACCAUGGGAGUGGGUUGCAAAAGAAGUAGGUAGCUUAACCUCCGGGAGGGCGCUUACCACUUUGUGAUUCAUGACUGGGGUGAAGUCGUAACAAGGUAACCGU